This 253-nucleotide ribosomal RNA is filed under the name uncultured bacterium. RNAcentral's name for it is "partial 16S ribosomal RNA". It matches the Rfam family "Bacterial small subunit ribosomal RNA", at positions 524 to 776 of the family's 1533-position model. The record is from RNAcentral.
UACGGAGGAUCCAAGCGUUAUCCGGAUUUAUUGGGUUUAAAGGGUGCGUAGGCGGCUUAUUAAGUCCGGGGUGAAAGACGGUGGCUCAACCAUCGCAGUGCCUUUGAUACUGAUGAGCUUGAAUACACUUGAGGUAGGCGGAAUGUGACAAGUAGCGGUGAAAUGCAUAGAUAUGUCACAGAACACCAAUUGCGAAGGCAGCUUACUAAGGUGUUAUUGACGCUGAGGCACGAAAGCGUGGGGAUCAAACAGG